GACGAACGCUGGCGGCGUGCCUAAUACAUGCAAGUCGAGCGAAGUUUUUCUGGUGCUUGCACUAGAAACACUUAGCGGCGAACGGGUGAGUAACACGUAAAGAACCUGCCUCAUAGACUGGGACAACUAUUGGAAACGAUAGCUAAUACCGGAUAACAGUAUUUCUCGCAUGAGAGAUAUUUAAAAGUUGGUUAUGCUAACACUAUGAGAUGGCUUUGCGGUGCAUUAGCUAGUUGGUGGGGUAAAGGCCCACCAAGGCGACGAUGCAUAGCCGACCUGAGAGGGUGAUCGGCCACACUGGGACUGAGACACGGCCCAGACUCCUACGGGAGGCAGCAGUAGGGAAUCUUCCGCAAUGGGCGAAAGCCUGACGGAGCAACGCCGCGUGAGUGAAGAAGGAUUUCGGUUCGUAAAGCUCUGUUGUUAGGGAAGAAUGGAUAUGUAGUAACUAUACAUGUAAGAGACGGUACCUAACCAGAAAGCCACGGCUAACUACGUG
RNAcentral lists this ribosomal RNA (499 nucleotides) under uncultured bacterium. RNAcentral describes it as "partial 16S ribosomal RNA". It matches the Rfam family "Bacterial small subunit ribosomal RNA", at positions 28 to 507 of the family's 1533-position model. The record is from RNAcentral.